AUAUCUGUGUGAGUGGUUAAGAUGUUGCACUCAAGAUGCAAUGACCUCAAGUCCUCAUGGGUUCAAAUCCCACAAAAUAAA
This 81-nucleotide transfer RNA is filed under the name Hippoglossus stenolepis (Pacific halibut). Its description in RNAcentral is "tRNA-Leu". The record is from RNAcentral. Lineage: Eukaryota; Metazoa; Chordata; Actinopteri; Pleuronectiformes; Pleuronectidae.